UACCCACGCCACAAGUGGCAGUCGCUAUUAUUGGGCCUAAAGCGUUCGUAGCAGGUUUUGUAAAUCUCUUGUGAAAUUGUUGUGCUUAACAUAAC
RNAcentral lists this ribosomal RNA (95 nucleotides) under uncultured archaeon. RNAcentral describes it as "partial 16S ribosomal RNA". It matches the Rfam family "Archaeal small subunit ribosomal RNA", at positions 474 to 568 of the family's 1478-position model. The record is from RNAcentral.